UACGUAGGUCCCGAGCGUUGUCCGGAUUUAUUGGGCGUAAAGCGAGCGCAGGUGGUUUAUUAAGUCUGGUGUAAAAGGCAGUGGCUCAACCAUUGUAUGCAUUGAAAACUGGUAGACUUGAGUGCAGGAGAGGAGAGUGGAAUUCCAUGUGUAGCGGUGAAAUGCGUAGAUAUAUGGAGGAACACCGGUGGCGAAAGCGGCCCUCUGGCCUGUAACUGACACUGAGGCUCGAAAGCGUGGGGAGCAAACAGG
RNAcentral lists this ribosomal RNA (252 nucleotides) under uncultured bacterium. RNAcentral describes it as "partial 16S ribosomal RNA". It matches the Rfam family "Bacterial small subunit ribosomal RNA", at positions 524 to 776 of the family's 1533-position model. The record is from RNAcentral.